RNAcentral lists this long non-coding RNA (512 nucleotides) under Oncorhynchus mykiss (rainbow trout). Its description in RNAcentral is "lncRNA (ENSOMYG00000077768.1)". The record is from RNAcentral. Lineage: Eukaryota; Metazoa; Chordata; Actinopteri; Salmoniformes; Salmonidae.
GUUCUUCUGUAUGUGGCUGAACAGGAAGCUGUGAUGCCAACUAGACUGGUCCUGAUGGUGGUACCAGACUGGUUACUAGAAGAUGCCUGUUACUGAACUACCUCCAGUUGAUGUCCUUGUGGGUCUGCAGUCUUCCGGAAGGUCCUGACUGUUCCAGCCUGGCCACUGGAGAACUGUUGCUGCACGACCUCAAGGUUUCUGCCCCUCUGGUUGAGGUCCUGGUGUCUGCGGGGUUUGGAAAGGUCCUAACUGUUCCAGCCUGGCCACUGGAGAACUGUUGCUGCACGACCUCAAGGUUUCUGUCCCUCUGGUUGAGGUCCUGGUGUCUGCAGGGUUUGGAAAGGUGUGUGACUUUAGACGGAAUCUUAAGGCUCCUUCCACAUGAAGCAUUCUGGAAUGUUGUAAAUGAUGCAGCCAUUUCCACUUACCCAGUCUGUUGGCAGUCCUGUGUUCUGGGGCUGGGUAAAGGUCUGGUCUCCCAUCGGCCCUCCUGUGGGUUGGGCAGACACUGA